GUUAUAGACAGCCCAAUACAGUCCGCUACAUUAACAUUGCUUGGUUCGACUAACGAAGACACUACCGAAAGAUCGCCCACCCAGAUGCAGAGUGUGCCGUUUGUUAACCCUAUUGACCUCUAUUAACACCUCCAUAACCACACAACCUUGACAUUCUUAGUGGUCGGCUGGGUGGUCGUCGUUCAUAUGAACACGUGGUGGCGACCAUUUGGAAUACAAUGUCAGGAUUACUGUUUGAACCAGCACGUAGAACUGUACAGCACGGAUGACAAAUAAGUAACGUAUUACCGGUCCUUAGAAUGGCCGGAUUUAACGUACAAAGAAUAGUCAAAAAUACUAGCCGAGGUCAGGGAACACAGAAAGGGACACAGCGAUGAGGAAAGCCAGGAGUCAGGAUACCAGAAUAUAGAGAAGUCAAUAAACAAAGCCAAAGUCAAAAACCAGGUAGAAAACUAUAAACAGGAACGCGCUCUCGGACAACCACAAGGGAAACCACGACAGGGCACUGAGCAG
Pelobates cultripes (western spadefoot toad) is the source of this 513-nucleotide non-coding RNA. Lineage: Eukaryota; Metazoa; Chordata; Amphibia; Anura; Pelobatidae. The record is from the annotation of a GenBank genome assembly.